GUCUUUUUGAUUUUUAUUUAAAGUUUAACCUGCCCAUUGAAAAUUUUAAAAGGCUGCGGUAUUUUGACCGUACAAAGGUAGCAUAGUCAUUAGUUUUUUAAUUGAAAACUUGUAUGAAUGGUUGAAUGAAAAAUUAACUUUUUUUUUAGAAAUAUUGAAUUUUACUUUUUAAUUAAAAGGUUAAAAUUUAUUUAAAAGACGAGAAGACCCUAUAGAGUUUUAUAAUUAUGGUUAUGUUUUUUAUAAGGGUUAUUUAAAAUUUUAUAAUUUAUAUUAUUUUGUUGGGGUGAUAGUAAAAUUUAAUUAACUUUUAUUUGUAGAUUUCAUUAAUAUAUGUAUAUUUGAUCCAGUAUUAUUGAUUAAAAAAUUAAAUUACCUUAGGGAUAACAGCGUAAUUUUUUUUUAAGUUCUUAUUAAUAAAAAAUUUUGCGACCUCGAUGUUGGAUUAAGAGUUAAUUUUAGGUGCAGCAGUUUAAAGUUUAAGUCUGUUCGACUUUUAAAUUCUU
Molecule: ribosomal RNA, 506 nt
Filed under: Camptochaeta sp.
Lineage: Eukaryota; Metazoa; Arthropoda; Insecta; Diptera; Sciaridae
Description: partial large subunit ribosomal RNA
Source: RNAcentral